Molecule: ribosomal RNA, 253 nt
Filed under: uncultured bacterium
Lineage: Bacteria
Description: partial 16S ribosomal RNA
Rfam family: Bacterial small subunit ribosomal RNA
Source: RNAcentral
GACGUAGGGGGCGAGCGUUGUCCGGAUUUAUUGGGCGUAAAGCGUGCGUAGGCGGCUGCGCAAGUCGGGUGUGAAACCCCGGGGCUCAACCCCGGAACUGCAUCCGAUACUGGUAAGCUCGAGUCCGGGAGAGGUGAGUGGAACUGCGAGUGUAGAGGUGAAAUUCGUAGAUAUUCGCAAGAACACCAGUGGCGAAGGCGGCUCACUGGCCCGGUACUGACGCUGAGGUGCGAAAGCGUGGGGAGCAAACAGG